This 400-nucleotide ribosomal RNA is filed under the name uncultured bacterium. Its description in RNAcentral is "bacterial SSU rRNA". It matches the Rfam family "Bacterial small subunit ribosomal RNA", at positions 355 to 774 of the family's 1533-position model. The record is from RNAcentral.
UUAGGAAUCUUCCCCAAUGGGCGAAAGCCUGAGGGAGCGAUACCGCUUGAGGGACGAAGCUUCUCGGAGUGUAAACCUCUGAACUAGGGACGAUGAUGACGGUACCUAGGUAAUAGCACCGGCUAACUCCGUGCCAGCAGCCGCGGUAAUACGGAGGGUGCGAGCGUUACCCGGAUUUACUGGGUGUAAAGGGCGCGUAGGCGGUUUUCUAAGUCCGAUGCUAAAGACCGGGGCUCAACCCCGGGGGUGCGUUGGAUACUGGGGAGCUAGGCGGUCGGAGAGGGUGGCGGAAUGGCCGGAGUAGCGGUGAAAUGCGCAGAUACCGGUCGGAACGCCGAUAGCGAAAGCAGCCACCUGGACGACAAGCGACGCUGAGGCGCGAAAGCGUGGGGAGCAAACC